AAUUUCUUUGCUACUUUUUCACUAUGUUUCAUUCAUGUGAGAGGCAAGAGAAGGUGCCCAGUCCAUGUGUCCCACUUGUCUGGAAGAACGUUUGGAGUCUGGCAGUCUGGUUGUUUUCGUAGCUCCAGAGGAUUUUUAGGAGCAUGGGGAGCAUGGGAUGCAUCAACCUGUGGACCACAAAACCCUCUGGAGAAUGUUGGCUGUGGAUAAAAGCAUCUGGAAGUUUCUACCAUCUUUUUACCCUGUUUUUUCCCGGGUUACCCUGUGUCAUUUGUGGCCCUGUCCUGAGGAUUAUGGCAAACAGUCACUUACUGGAAUUCCUCCUCAUGUAUCUUCUUGAAAUGGAGCCACUGCUUUACCCAGCUGGAAGAUAUUUUCUCCCAGAGCUCUUCCAGUGCAGCAGCAGCACUCCUGUCCAGCAGAGCUGUGCCAAAGUGUCUGAUGAAACAUGGAUCUUGGCCGGCAAGAGCUGCAGUUCCUCUUCUUUUGAAAGAAGCUGGGAAAGGCUCCCCAAAACAACCAGUGGAGAGAGUGUCCAGAUGAAAGAUCUGGAUGAUUGGUGUGCCCUGUCCUUGUUGUCAACUGCUUUGCCAGGAAGAUUAAUGGCAGACGAGAAAAUGUGAGGAUGCUGCUGCGUCACUUGCAUUCUUCACCCCAGCCCAGCAGUAACUCUUUCCAGACUACCAGCAGCAGUCCAGGCACUUACAUCCUGCUCCAUUCCCUCUCCAAGAGCUUUGUGUAUAGGGCAAGUGCGUCCAUCCCCUUUCCUUCAGCAGAGGAGCUGCUGCCAGCUCAAACAGAGGUUCCUAUCUUUCUGAAACAUGAAAAACACUCAUUUCUCUCUCACACCUUUUCAAAACUGGAGCAGAAAGAGAAUAGCAGUUACUGCCAUAUGAGAGAGUGAGAAUGGGAAGCUCUGGAUAAGCAUUUGUAAAAUAUCCAGGGGAAAUAGAUGCUGGCAAAGACUCUGCUGAGUGGGAGUGGGUGUACCAAAAUGUAUGUGUCAGGAUGAGAAAUGUAUUUCUAGGGAAGGACAUGGAGAACUGGCUGCUUCCCAGGACACAGCUCCUCCUGGGGCUCUUCCUGUGGGAGAUCUCUGCAUUUUUUUUUUUAACACAUGGACUAUCUCCCCAGCCCACUCUUCUGAGUAGAAACUAAUCUCUGUAUUGAGAGAAAGUUGUUUCUUAUUAACUCUCUGAAUGGGGAAAAAAUAACCUCAACUCCCUGUAGUGGGAAUUGCACAAGUCAAAAUUUUGCAUUCCCUUCUCCAGACUCCAAAGUCGUUCCUGGAAGGAUGAGUUGUGGGUCAGAGAGGGGCUGUGCCCUCCUGCCAUACCUGCUGUGAGCUGCCAGGUCUGGCUAUCAGUCUGAAUGCAUGAUGAGAGCAGAGUAAAAAGAGUAAAACUGCAGUCAUGGCCUGAGCAGGGAUACCCAAAAUUAACAUCAAAAGGAAAGGAGGGAGUUGUCCAAAUACAGCCUGCAAACCUUUAAUUCUGUGUGACAGUGGUACCCCGAGCCAGGUAAUCUCCAGGAUCAGUGUUGCUGCAGUAAUGGAAGCAGCUGAUGUGGGAAGAUGAAGGUUUGAUGGAAGGUAUAAUAAUCUAUCUUAGAUGUUUUAAUUUUC
Serinus canaria (Common canary) is the source of this 1624-nucleotide long non-coding RNA. Lineage: Eukaryota; Metazoa; Chordata; Aves; Passeriformes; Fringillidae. The record is from Ensembl.